Molecule: long non-coding RNA, 272 nt
Filed under: Setaria viridis
Lineage: Eukaryota; Viridiplantae; Streptophyta; Magnoliopsida; Poales; Poaceae
Description: long non-coding RNA (SVIR_LNC006063)
Source: RNAcentral
UUUUUUUGCAAAAUUAGGGCGACGUACGAAAAGCCCUGGGAGACGUUGCUUGCUUUAAUAAUAGGUAUAGAUUUUAAAAAAUUCACUUUUUGGCACUAAGGCCUUGCUUGGCAACUCAAGAAGCCAGUUUCGUAUUCUGAUCCCCUCGUGAAACUAAGAGAACUGUUUCUAGUCUCUUCCCUCUUACUAGUAGUAGUAGAAUCAUCCGCUAACCCUCACCCUCUCUCCCCCGCAUCCGAACUGGCUGGCCGCUAACCCUUACCCUCUCUCAC